This 802-nucleotide long non-coding RNA is filed under the name Pan paniscus (pygmy chimpanzee). RNAcentral describes it as "lncRNA (ENSPPAG00000045476.1)". The record is from RNAcentral. Lineage: Eukaryota; Metazoa; Chordata; Mammalia; Primates; Hominidae.
GGUGAAUCGGCCUGGAAGCUGUUCAUUCUCUCCCAAGCCUGAAACAGCGGAUAAACGACCCCACCUCAUGCUGGGAAGGGAGAGCUUGGGAUCCCUGGCACGUGAGAAAGAGAGCCUGGCAUAGAUCAGAGCUCUCCAUCCAGAGUGUCAUGACUUAGCUGCGUGCUUUCACCAGCAGGGAGGAGGGAACUGAUACUGGAGAAAUAUACUUUCCUCCUCCAUCAUGGUGAUUCAUAACCUUCUAAAACCUUAUGAUUCUGAAAACCCACACAAACACAUUGGGACCUCUCCCAGCCCUUGACUCACUGUCGGCAUUCUCAAGAUGACCACAAUGAGCAGCAUUGAAGAGCCAGCGUUCAAAUGCUUCUCCCACAUGGGAGUCAGUAUUCUGCAGAGAUGGAUGAUUCUCAGAUUACCACUUAGCUUCCUGAAGCCAGCAACCUAUGUCAAAGCAGCAGUAGGACAAAGAACAUGGCUGCCGCUUCAAAUCUUAUGUGAAUUCACCUCAUCACUGGAACCAAAUUUAUAUCUAAUAAAAAGUUUGAUAAUAGCAAGAUAGAGGAAGAUAAGAAGAUAUCCUGUAGAUCGGGGUCCCCAUGCUCCAGGCCAUGGACCGAUACUGUUAGGAACUGGGCUACACAGCAGGAGGUGAGCCGGGUGAGCAAGUGAAGCUUCAUCUGUAUUUAAAGCCCCUCUCUAUCACUCGCAUUACUGCCUGAGCUCCACCUCCUUUCAUCAGCGGGGGCAUUAGAUUCUCAUAGGAGCGCGAACCCUAUUGUGAACUGCACAUACGCGGAAUCUA